Molecule: transfer RNA, 21 nt
Filed under: Regulus satrapa (golden-crowned kinglet)
Lineage: Eukaryota; Metazoa; Chordata; Aves; Passeriformes; Regulidae
Also listed under: 11 other names
Description: partial tRNA-Met
Source: RNAcentral
GUUUAACCCCUUCCCCUGCUA